UACAAAUUUGAGUCCUCAGAAUGUCAUACGUACAUAAGAAGUUCAGAACAAUGUCCAUAAAUUUGGGUUACAAAUGUGUAAUAAGGUGCAGAAAGCACAAGAAUUAGAUAUGCACAAGAAUAAUCUUACAAGUGCAGAUUCUAUUCGAGUAUGCUUCCGGAAUGCUUGGCAUAGAAUGUUCUUGAAUGUUUAUGAAAUCAGGCUUUGGUCAUCAGACAUCAGGUUUCUUCUUCUUUGGCACAUACUGUCGAGCCCAUAGAUGUUUUCCCCUGGUCAUGAACUUGACUCUCCUGUUCCCAUCAAGA
This 305-nucleotide long non-coding RNA is filed under the name Triticum aestivum (bread wheat). RNAcentral describes it as "long non-coding RNA (TAES_LNC000891)". Lineage: Eukaryota; Viridiplantae; Streptophyta; Magnoliopsida; Poales; Poaceae. The record is from RNAcentral.